AAAGUCGUAACAAGGUCUCCGUUGGUGAACCAGCGGAGGGAUCAUUACCGAAGUUACCCUUCAAACCCAUUUGUGAACAUUACCCCUUGCCGCGUUGCCUCGGCGGGAGGUCUGGGGCGGGUCCGGGGAAACCCGCGCCCCGCCCCCGGCCCCCGCCGGCCGCGCCAAACUCUUCAUUUGCAAAGCGGACUGCAUGCUCUGAUUUAGAUUUUUAAAACAAGUCAAAACUUUUAACAACGGAUCUCUUGGUUCUG
This 254-nucleotide unclassified non-coding RNA is filed under the name Ascomycota sp. RNAcentral describes it as "partial contains small subunit ribosomal RNA, internal transcribed spacer 1, and 5.8S ribosomal RNA". The stretch from base 1 to 47 matches the Rfam family "Eukaryotic small subunit ribosomal RNA", at positions 1785 to 1831 of the family's 1831-position model. The record is from RNAcentral. Lineage: Eukaryota; Fungi; Ascomycota.